RNAcentral lists this non-coding RNA (32 nucleotides) under Homo sapiens (human). The record is from RNAcentral. Lineage: Eukaryota; Metazoa; Chordata; Mammalia; Primates; Hominidae.
CCCCACUGAGCAGCAGAUCAUGCAACUGCUUC